Molecule: long non-coding RNA, 1299 nt
Organism: Mobula hypostoma (lesser devil ray)
Lineage: Eukaryota; Metazoa; Chordata; Chondrichthyes; Myliobatiformes; Myliobatidae
Exons: 3
Source: RefSeq, a predicted model, not a curated record
CUGCAGUUUAAAACUAAUUUGCUUUCUCUCCUUCCCAGUUCUAUCUUCGACAUGAAAUAUUAAAUCUGUUGCUUUUCCACAGAAGCUGCCUGACCUGCUGACUGUUUCCAGCAUAGUUUAUUGAGAAGGGAAUUAGAGAAAAAAAUGAGGAUACGGGAAGAGUGGAGGAGGAGAUUGACAGCAUUGAUCCUUGAAGCUCAGUGGGGCAAAUAGCCUCCUUCUGUUGUAUGGUAAUGUCUGGGAACAUCGGAGCCUUCCAAACUUAAUAUUAGAUUCUCCAAAUUAAGUCUUACAAAAGCCAGUCAUCUGAGAAGACUGUGGAGAGUCCUACUCAAAUACAGUUCUACUCAGAAAAUUUCCGUCAUUCUAUAUGCAGAACUUCAUUCUAACCAGCAGAUUUAAGAAGAUCCAAUCCUAAAGCUGAUAUGACUCAAGCAAGACUAUGUCACUGCACCAAAUUUCUUCACAGUUAUUUUCACCAUAAUGCAAUACCUCAUCUCAAAAAGCUUUCUGCUGGAAUGGACCCUAACUACAUGGCAAAUUGGAAACUGUUUAACCUCCAUCACGAUCACUCCAGAACCAAAGUCACUCCAAACUCAGUUCAUCUGAGAGGAUAGAGACAAGAAGUGUGAAUAAGGGAAAAAGCUACAGAAGAAGAAUGAUAUGAAAAAUACAGUAUGAAAGCAUCCAUUUUUGGAAUAAGCAUAGAAAAGCAUAUUUUCAAUAAAACUUACUAAUAAAAAUUUGAAGAUCCUUAACAACGAUCAUAGGAGAAGACAUUUGCUUUCUGAAUUGCUUUCUGUGUAUGCAUAUUGUCUUCUUAGCUUUUAUUGUUCACAGUACAGAGGCAUCAAUAGAAAGAUCGAUUUAUUUUCCAUCCCUAAAGUACCCCCUCAACCACAUGACAUUCUAAUUAAUUUCAGAGGGAAGUUGAAUCAACUGGAUCAGCAUGGGUCAGAAGUCACAUUUGGAUUUUCCCUGGUUGACAUUAGUGAACCACAUGGAGUUUAUCCAAUAGGUUUACCAGCAAUGCAGAAUUUUGCUGGUCAACAUUAAUGAAAAUACUUUUUUAAAUUUCAGAAUUACUUAUUUUAGUUUAAUUUAUUCUGCUGGGGUUGAAACUUCAUCUAGGUUUCAGAUCAAUUGUUCAAAUCAAUAGUUCACUCAAGUUCAGUAACUUAAAACACUAAAAUUUCAUACCACCUUACUCUUAUAAAGGUUUUGGAUUAGGUCACACUCAGAGCACAAUAUGCUCUUUACCUGAGGAAGGAUAUUUGUGCCUUCCAGACUACAGCAAAG